GGCCAUAGCUCAAUGGCAGAGCAUCUGCUUGGCAUACACAGGACCCCAGGUUCAAUCCUUGGCAUCUCCA
This 70-nucleotide transfer RNA is filed under the name Sphaerodactylus townsendi. RNAcentral describes it as "tRNA-Ala". Lineage: Eukaryota; Metazoa; Chordata; Lepidosauria; Squamata; Sphaerodactylidae. The record is from RNAcentral.